CAGGUCGGGGCUAUUGAAUGCCGCCGCCUGUCUGCGUACCAUAGCGCCCAUGGUUGUAAUUCCGGCAACCCGGAGGCGUUCUGGACAGGGGUUCGAUUCCCCUCACCUCCACCCAAGUGCAUUUCAUGCUGUCGCUAGUGUGUUUGGGUGGGGGUGUACUGGUUUCGACAGGGCGGGCAAAGGUGCGCAGGCAACCCGAGAGGCGACGGACGUAAUCCGCGCAAAACCACAAACGCCAACGAUGAGCGUUUCGCAGUCGCUGCAUAAGCACUGCCGGGGCCGCUGAAGCCUUGUAACCCAAGACAGCCGAUGGGGACUUCGGUCCCCAUCGUCA
RNAcentral lists this transfer-messenger RNA (334 nucleotides) under Thauera linaloolentis. It matches the Rfam family "Betaproteobacteria transfer-messenger RNA". From Rfam's summary of the family: Bacterial tmRNA, also known as 10Sa RNA or SsrA, is named for its dual tRNA and mRNA-like properties. Its role is to liberate the mRNA from a stalled ribosome. Lineage: Bacteria; Pseudomonadati; Pseudomonadota; Betaproteobacteria; Rhodocyclales; Zoogloeaceae. The record is from RNAcentral. RNAcentral also lists the same sequence under 1 other name.